RNAcentral lists this long non-coding RNA (715 nucleotides) under Polistes fuscatus (common paper wasp). RNAcentral describes it as "uncharacterized LOC122523103, transcript variant X1". Lineage: Eukaryota; Metazoa; Arthropoda; Insecta; Hymenoptera; Vespidae. The record is from RNAcentral.
AUGAAAUGUAUGUCCUUGUUUUUCGAAAAACAUGUCAGAGUUUCUUUCUAUCGUUCGUUCGAGCACUCUCAUCUCGUGGUAGUACGAAGAGAGCAUGAUCGACGCAUGCGUUUUUCCCCAACAACAGUUUUACCCUAGAAGAGAAAUUAUUCUUGGCCGAUUCACGGCCAGUCUUCGACGAACAUCCUGAAGUUCGACCGUGACGUCAUCAACAUCAUCAUAAUCAUCAACAUCGGGACAGAGAAAACAUAUAUUGAUAAUUGAAUUUAUUUCGCGAAGUGGAUCAUCCUCGUGAUUGGACGGGUCCUCCCCUCCCCCCACCACCACCACCACUCCUCCUCUUCCCCAAUUUUUUUGAAAGAUUCAAUGAUCAAAAUAUUUUCAACAAAGGUGUACUAAGUGAGAAGAACUUAAGAAGUAACACGUGUUGGGUGUGGAAGGAGGGGGGAGGAAAGAUGACUCGUGCUAACUCGUGAAAAUCAUAAUCAAAAUAAAAAAUAGAAAAAAUAGAAACACUGAGAGAGAGAGAGAGAGUACAGAAGGGAUGACGAGAGUGGUGGGAAAGGAGAAGAAGAGUGGGGAUCGGAAGGAAGGAUGCUCGGAGCCAGUUAUGGUGGCGAACGAAGCCGAGAAUGGUGGUGGUGGUGGGGUCGAAAGGUGGCACAGUCAUUUAUGGUCGUACAGUGUAAGCUCGCACACCUGCGAUCGGAUGUCG